Molecule: ribosomal RNA, 438 nt
Filed under: uncultured bacterium
Lineage: Bacteria
Description: bacterial SSU rRNA
Rfam family: Bacterial small subunit ribosomal RNA
Source: RNAcentral
GCAAAACGCGAAGAACCUUACCUGGCCUUGACAUACAGAGAACUUUCCAGAGAUGGAUUGGUGCCUUCGGGAACUCUGAUACAGGUGCUGCAUGGCUGUCGUCAGCUCGUGUCGUGAGAUGUUGGGUUAAGUCCCGCAACGAGCGCAACCCUUUUCCUUAUUUGCCAGCACUUCGGGUGGGAACUUUAAGGAUACUGCCAGUGACAAACUGGAGGAAGGCGGGGACGACGUCAAGUCAUCAUGGCCCUUACGGCCAGGGCUACACACGUGCUACAAUGGUCGGUACAGAGGGUUGCUACUGCGCGAGCAGAUGCUAAUCUCAAAAAGCCGAUCGUAGUCCGGAUCGCAGUCUGCAACUCGACUGCGUGAAGUCGGAAUCGCUAGUAAUCGCGGAUCAGCAUGUCGCGGUGAAUACGUUCCCGGGUCUUGUACACACCG